Molecule: long non-coding RNA, 1367 nt
Organism: Eurytemora carolleeae
Lineage: Eukaryota; Metazoa; Arthropoda; Copepoda; Calanoida; Temoridae
Exons: 4
Source: RefSeq, a predicted model, not a curated record
AGGUUAACUGAGGCAGCAGAAAAGAAACCAUAUUUGUUUAUUGAAGAUGUUUUUAUUACUGGAGUACUUCCGAAAAGCCUGGGCUUUGCCCCGCUAAAUAUAGGUGAGCAUCUAAUAUGGGAAACACAUCCAGCAUUUCUGAUUAAACUCCUCCAGAAUCCUGUAACUUAUCAUGAGGCAUCAGAUAGUUCAAAUAAUAAACAAAUAAUCUUCUAAGAGGAACCUUUAGCGUAAUUUCUUAUGACCUUCCUAUUAUAGAGUGACAUGCCCGAUUCACAAUGGUACCCUUAACAGCUUAGUCUGAACAAAACUUUAAGAGAUAUCAAUGUUUUAAAUUCAAAAUUAAUUUUUUAAAAUGUUAUUUCUUAGUUAUAGAUGACUUUGCAAAUUUAUGCUAUAGAAACAGGGAGAAAUUUUCAGAAUCUAAUCCUUUUUAGCUAGAAAAACGACCAUAUCUUCAACAAAAAUAAUCUGAUAAAAGUUUAAAGUGUACCAUACAACAGCUUCUUAACGUCUCAGCUAAGAGCUGAGCUUUUAAAAGCUUAAACCCGAGUAAACCCCAUUUUAUUUGGAGACGCAAGCGUAAAUAAAACCCGAGGCAGGAUUGCUCCUGAUUGGUUCUGAUUGGUUCAGAUACGAUACGACGUUCUGUUUAUAGCAGACAGACCUUCCGUAAGGCCAUAAGAGAAUUUUGUACUCAGAACUCACCAAAUUCCGUGAUAUACAAUGAACUCAUUUUCGGUGACUGUACAAUUGUAUAUUGGUUGUUUGUAAACAAACGCAACCGAAACUGGACUUGAUCCGAAAAAUUAAAUUAAACCCAGUAUUAGUCGCAGUCCAAAGUUAUAUAGUUACACAUAUAAAGAUACCAUGGAGCUACUCCACCCCCUCUCAUGUCGAAACUGUAGAUUAUUGUUUCAACAUAAGUCUAAUUAAAUUGAAUCAUCAGCAUCUUCUUCAUAAACAGGCGGAGUGGUGUUUCAAAGUAAAGUGUUUCAAUAGCAUAUACAAACUAGGGGAAACCCUGAACUCUGAGGAAAAGAUGAAAAUGGAAGUUGUUGAACACUCUUUCCUUCAUACUAAAUACAAAGAUUAUUGAAGAGAAGGAUUGGCGCUAGCAAAGCUAUAAAAGUAAUUUAAAAGCUGUUUUUUUAAACUCUGACAUCAUCAACUGUAAUAAAAGAUUUACUUUGAAGCUUAUUUUGUACUUUAUUUAAACCACCUAUCUGAUCAAGCCUGCAGCCUUGCAUACAACUUGACUUGUUGCUGGUUAACAAAUCAACGGUAUAAAUGCAAAUAGAAUGUUAAGUACAAUAGAUGGCAACGUAGAAUUUGUACACUCUCAGUACAGUUGUAUGUUAAGUACA